This 301-nucleotide ribosomal RNA is filed under the name uncultured bacterium. RNAcentral describes it as "partial 16S ribosomal RNA". It matches the Rfam family "Bacterial small subunit ribosomal RNA", at positions 509 to 807 of the family's 1533-position model. The record is from RNAcentral.
CAGUAGCCGCGGUAAUACGUAGGGUCCGAGCGUUGUCCGGAAUUAUUGGGCGUAAAGGGCUCGUAGGCGGUUUGUUGCGUCGGGAGUGAAAACCCAGGGCUUAACUUUGGGCUUGCUUUCGAUACGGGCAGACUUGAGGCAUUGAGGGGAGAACGGAAUUCCUGGUGUAGCGGUGAAAUGCGCAGAUAUCAGGAGGAACACCGGUGGCGAAGGCGGUUCUCUGGCAAUGUUCUGACGCUGAGGAGCGAAAGUGUGGGGAGCGAACAGGAUUAGAUACCCGCGUAGUCCCUGUCUCUUAUAC